UGGCGGCGCGCUUAAACAUGCAAGUCGCACGAGAAAGUGGAGCAAUCCAUGAGUACAGUGGCGUACGGGUGAGUAACACGUGGAUCAUCUACCUCUUGGUGGGGAAUAACCCUGGGAAACCGGGGCUAAUACCGCAUAAGCCUGCAAAGGGAAAGCAGCAAUGCGCCGAGAGAGGAGUCCGCGGCCGAUUAGCUGGUUGGUAGGGUAAUGGCCUACCAAGGCAAUGAUCGGUAGCCGGCCUGAGAGGGCACACGGCCACACUGGCACUGAAACACGGGCCAGACUCCUACGGGAGGCAGCAGUGGGGAAUCUUGCACAAUGGGGGAAACCCUGAUGCAGCGACGCCGCGUGAGCGAUGAAGCCCUUCGGGGUGUAAAGCUCUUUCGGCAGGAACGAUAAUGACGGUACCUGCAGAAGAAGCUGCGGCUAACUACGUGCCAGCAGCCGCGGUAAUACGUAGGCAGCAAGCGUUGUUCGGAAUUACUGGGCGUAAAGAGUGUGUANGCGGUUCUCUAAGUUCCGUGUGAAAUCUCCCGGCUUAACUGGGAGGGUGCGCGGGAAACUGGAGGGCUG
Molecule: ribosomal RNA, 573 nt
Filed under: uncultured bacterium
Lineage: Bacteria
Description: bacterial SSU rRNA
Rfam family: Bacterial small subunit ribosomal RNA
Source: RNAcentral